GGUCAAGCUACUAAGGGCGUACGGUGGAUGCCUAGGCGCUAAGAGUCGAAGAAGGGCGCGGUUAACAGCGAAAUGCCACGGGGAGCAGUAAGCAUGCAUUGAUCCGUGGAUACCCGAAUGGGGCAACCCCAUUGGAGUUAUAUCCAAUGAUCUUUAACUGAAUAGAUAGGUUAAAGAGGACAACCCGGGGGAACUGAAACAUCUAAGUACCCGGAGGAAGAGAAAGAAUAAUCGAUUCCCUGAGUAGCGGCGAGCGAAACGGGAAGAGCCCAAACCAAGCUCUUCGGAGCUUGGGGUUGUAGGACCCUCUAUUAAGCAUUAAUUCUUAGCUGAAGAAAUCUGGAAAGAUUCAGCAAAGAAGGUAACACUCCUGUAAGCGAAAAGAAGAAAUGCUGUGAGGGUAUCCUGAGUACCGCGGGACACGAGAAACCCCGUGGGAAACCGGGAGGACCACCUCCCAAGGCUAAAUACUCCUUAGCGACCGAUAGUGAACCAGUACCGUGAGGGAAAGGUGAAAAGCACCCCGGGAGGGGAGUGAAAAAGAACCUGAAACCGUACGCUUACAAGCAGUCAAAGCACCCUUGAGGUGUGAUGGCGUGCCUUUUGUAGAAUGAACCGGCGAGUUACGGUAUGUAGCGAGGUUAAAGCGAGAAGCUGGAGCCGAAGCGAAAGCGAGUCUGAAAAGGGCGACAAGUUACAUGCUGUAGACCCGAAACCGUGUGAUCUACCCAUGGUCAGGGUGAAGGUGGGGUAAAACCUACUGGAGGCCCGAACUCACUGUCGUUGAAAAGGCAAGGGAUGAACUGUGGGUAGGGGUGAAAUGCCAAUCGAACACGGAGAUAGCUGGUUCUCCCCGAAAUAGCUUUAGGGCUAGCCUCAAUUGAUGAUUCUUGGCGGUAAAGCACUGAAUAGGCUAGGGGCCUUACCGGGUUACCGAACCUUAUCAAACUCUGAAUGCCAAGAAUUUAGAUUGGGAGUCAGACUGUGGGGGAUAAGCUUCAUAGUCAAAAGGGAAACAGCCCAGACCAUCAGCUAAGGUCCCAAAGUAUACGCUAAGUGGAAAAGGAUGUGGAAUUGCACAGACAACCAGGAUGUUGGCUCAGAAGCAGCCACCAUUUAAAGAGUGCGUAAUAGCUCACUGGUCGAGUGGUUCUGCGCCGAAAAUGUAACGGGGCUCAAGCGUAUCACCGAAGCUAUGGCUUUACAGUUUACUGUAAGGGGUAGGGGAGCGUUCCAAGGUCAGCGAAGUUCAACUGGAAGGUUGGGUGGAGAGCUUGGAAGUGAGAAUGCCGGUAUGAGUAUGCGAAAAGGUGAGUGAGAAUCUCACCCGCCGAAAAUCUAAGGUUUCCUGGGGAAGGCUCGUCCGCCCAGGGUCAGUCGGGACCUAAGCCGAGGCCGAAAGGCGUAGGUGAUGGACAACUGGUGGAUAUUCCAGUACCUCUCUUAAACGUUAUUAGCGAUGGGGUGACACAGAAGGAUAGGUUAAGCGUGCCGUUGGUUGAGCACGCCCAAGCCCGUAGGGUGUGAGGCAGGUAAAUCCGUCUUACGCGUUGCCUGAAAGGUAAUGGGGAGCGAAAAUAAGUAGCGAAGUAACCGACUCCAAGCUGUCAAGAAAAGCCUCUAGUGAGUGAGAGAGAGCCCGUACCGCAAACCGACACAGGUAGAUAAGGAGAGAAUCCUAAGGCGCGCGAGAAAACCCUCGUUAAGGAACUCGGCAAAAUAGCCCCGUAACUUCGGGAGAAGGGGCGCUCUUCGCAAGAAGAGCCGCAGAGAAAUGGUCCAGGCGACUGUUUAACAAAAACACAGGUUCCUGCCAAUCUGAAAAGAGAAGUAUAGGAGCUGACGCCUGCCCGGUGCUGGAAGGUUAAGAGGAGAGGUUAGCCGCAAGGCGAAGCUUUGAAUUGAAGCCCCAGUAAACGGCGGCCGUAACUAUAACGGUCCUAAGGUAGCGAAAUUCCUUGUCAGGUAAGUUCUGACCCGCACGAAAGGCGUAACGAUCUGGACACUGUCUCAACGAGGGACUCGGCGAAAUUGUAAUACCCGUGAAGAUGCGGGUUACCUGCGACAGGACAGAAAGACCCCAUGGAGCUUUACUGUAGCUUGACAUUGGAUUUUGGUAUAAAAUGUACAGGAUAGGUGGGAGACUAAGAAGCUAGGGCGCCAGCCUUGGUGGAGUCGCCGGUGGGAUACCACUCUUUUUGUACUGAAAUUCUAACUUAGACCCCCUGAAUCGGGGUUGAGGACCGUGUCAGGUGGGCAGUUUGACUGGGGCGGUCGCCUCCUAAAGAGUAACGGAGGCGCCCAAAGGUUCCCUCAGCGCGGAUGGAAAUCGCGCGAAGAGUGUAAAGGCAAAAGGGAGCUUGACUGCGAGACCAACAAGUCGAGCAGGGACGAAAGUCGGGCUUAGUGAUCCGGUGGUACCGAGUGGAAGGGCCAUCGCUCAACGGAUAAAAGCUACCCUGGGGAUAACAGGCUUAUCUCCCCCAAGAGUCCAUAUCGACGGGGAGGUUUGGCACCUCGAUGUCGGCUCAUCGCAUCCUGGGGCUGUAGUAGGUCCCAAGGGUUGGGCUGUUCGCCCAUUAAAGCGGUACGUGAGCUGGGUUCAGAACGUCGUGAGACAGUUCGGUCCCUAUCCGUCGCAGGCGCAGGAAAUUUGAGGGGAGCUGACCCUAGUACGAGAGGACCGGGUUGGACGGAUCACUGGUGUACCAGUUGUCUCGCCAGAGGCAUAGCUGGGUAGCUAUAUCCGGAUCGGAUAAGCGCUGAAAGCAUCUAAGCGCGAAACCGACCUCAAGAUGAGAUUUCCCACAGCACAAGCUGGUAAGACCCCUGAAAGAUGAUCAGGUAGAUAGGCCCAAUGUGGAAGCGCGGUGACGUGUGGAGCUGACGGGUACUAAUCGGUCGAGGGCUUGACCUA
RNAcentral lists this ribosomal RNA (2917 nucleotides) under Desulfitobacterium metallireducens DSM 15288. Its description in RNAcentral is "Bacterial large subunit ribosomal RNA". It matches the Rfam family "Bacterial large subunit ribosomal RNA". The record is from Rfam by way of RNAcentral. Lineage: Bacteria; Bacillati; Bacillota; Clostridia; Eubacteriales; Desulfitobacteriaceae.